GAUGAAGAACGCAGCGAAAUGCGAUAAGUAGUGUGAAUUGCAGAAUUCAGUGAAUCAUCGAAUCUUUGAACGCACAUUGCGCCCUUUGGUAUUCCAAAGGGCAUGCCUGUUCGAGCGUCAUUUGUACCCUCAAGCUUUGCUUGGUGUUGGGCGUCUUGUCUCUAGCUUUACUGGAGACUCGCCUUGAAGUAAUUGGCAGCCGGCCUACUGGUUUCGGAGCGCAGCACAAGUCGCACUCUCUAUCAGCAAAGGUCUAGCAUCCAUUAAGCCUUUUUUUCAACUUUUGACCUCGGAUCAGGUAGGGAUACCCGCUGAACUUAAGCAUAUCAAUAAGCGGAGGA
This 341-nucleotide unclassified non-coding RNA is filed under the name soil metagenome. RNAcentral describes it as "partial contains 5.8S ribosomal RNA, internal transcribed spacer 2, and large subunit ribosomal RNA". The stretch from base 1 to 120 matches the Rfam family "5.8S ribosomal RNA", at positions 35 to 154 of the family's 154-position model. The record is from RNAcentral.